RNAcentral lists this non-coding RNA (218 nucleotides) under Linnemannia elongata AG-77. RNAcentral's name for it is "Mortierella elongata AG-77 Eukaryotic large subunit ribosomal RNA". It matches the Rfam family "Eukaryotic large subunit ribosomal RNA", at positions 2792 to 2996 of the family's 3401-position model. Lineage: Eukaryota; Fungi; Mortierellomycota; Mortierellomycetes; Mortierellales; Mortierellaceae. The record is from Rfam by way of RNAcentral.
UGAGGAACCAAAACGCGAAUAGAUCAGAACACACAAAAAAAUACUGAAUGGCUGGCUUGAGGCAGCCACGCGUUCAUAGUGAUGUUGCUUUUUGAUCCUUCGAUGUCAGCUCCUCCCAUCAUAUUGAAGCAGAAUUCAGUAAGAGUUGGAUUGUUCGCCCACUAAUAGGGAACGUGAGCUGGGUUUAGACCGUCGUGAGACAGGCUAGUUUUACCCUA